AUGAACGCUGGCGGCGUGCCUAAUACAUGCCAGUCGAGCGAACAGACGAGGAGCUUGCUCCUCUGACGUUAGCGGCGGACGGGUGAGUAACACGUGGAUAACCUACCUAUAAGACUGGGAUAACUUCGGGAAACCGGAGCUAAUACCGGAUAAUAUAUUGAACCGCAUGGUUCAAUAGUGAAAGACGGUUUUGCUGUCACUUAUAGAUGGAUCCGCGCCGCAUUAGCUAGUUGGUAAGGUAACGGCUUACCAAGGCAACGAUGCGUAGCCGACCUGAGAGGGUGAUCGGCCACACUGGAACUGAGACACGGUCCAGACUCCUACGGGAGGCAGCAGUAGGGAAUCUUCCGCAAUGGGCGAAAGCCUGACGGAGCAACGCCGCGUGAGUGAUGAAGGUCUUCGGAUCGUAAAACGCUGUUAUUAGGGAAGAACAAAUGUGUAAGUAACUAUGCACGUCUUGACGGUACCUAAUCAGAAAGCCACGGCUAACUACGU
RNAcentral lists this ribosomal RNA (495 nucleotides) under uncultured bacterium. Its description in RNAcentral is "partial 16S ribosomal RNA". It matches the Rfam family "Bacterial small subunit ribosomal RNA", at positions 29 to 506 of the family's 1533-position model. The record is from RNAcentral.